Molecule: transfer RNA, 76 nt
Filed under: bacterium NHP-B
Lineage: Bacteria
Description: tRNA-Met
Rfam family: tRNA
About the family: Transfer RNA (tRNA) molecules are approximately 80 nucleotides in length. Their secondary structure includes four short double-helical elements and three loops (D, anti-codon, and T loops). Further hydrogen bonds mediate the characteristic L-shaped molecular structure. tRNAs have two regions of fundamental functional importance: the anti-codon, which is responsible for specific mRNA codon recognition, and the 3' end, to which the tRNAs corresponding amino acid is attached (by aminoacyl-tRNA synthetases). tRNAs cope with the degeneracy of the genetic code in two manners: having more than one tRNA (with a specific anti-codon) for a particular amino acid; and 'wobble' base-pairing, i.e. permitting non-standard base-pairing at the 3rd anti-codon position.
Source: RNAcentral
GGGCCUGUAGUUCAAUUGGCAGAACCCGCCGCUCAUAACGGUGUAGUUGUAGGUUCGAGUCCUACCGGGCCCACCA